GCCUCGCGCGAUUGGAGCGGCCGAUGUCGGAUUAGCUAGUUGGUAGGGUAAAGGCCUACCAAGGCGACGAUCCGUAGCGGGUCUGAGAGGAUGAUCCGCCACACUGGGACUGAGACACGGCCCAGACUCCUACGGGAGGCAGCAGUGGGGAAUUUUGGACAAUGGGCGCAAGCCUGAUCCAGCCAUGCCGCGUGAGUGAAGAAGGCCUUCGGGUUGUAAAGCUCUUUCAGGUGGAAAGAAAACGCAUGGGUCAAUACCCUGUGUGGAUGACGGUACCAUCAGAAGAAGCACCGGCUAACUACGUGCCAGCAGCCGCGGUAAUACGUAGGGUGCGAGCGUUAAUCGGAAUUACUGGGCGUAAAGCGUGCGCAGGCGGUGAUGUAAGACAGAUGUGAAAUCCCCGGGCUCAACCUGGGAACUGCGUUUGUGACUGCAUCACUCGAGUACGGCAGAGGGAGGUGGAAUUCCGCGUGUAGCAGUGAAAUGCGUAGAUAUGCGGAGGAACACCGAUGGCGAAGG
RNAcentral lists this ribosomal RNA (519 nucleotides) under Zoogloea sp. RNAcentral describes it as "bacterial SSU rRNA". It matches the Rfam family "Bacterial small subunit ribosomal RNA", at positions 210 to 721 of the family's 1533-position model. Lineage: Bacteria; Pseudomonadati; Pseudomonadota; Betaproteobacteria; Rhodocyclales; Zoogloeaceae. The record is from RNAcentral.